Molecule: small RNA, 28 nt
Filed under: Bombyx mori (domestic silkworm)
Lineage: Eukaryota; Metazoa; Arthropoda; Insecta; Lepidoptera; Bombycidae
Description: ovarian small RNA-23801
Source: RNAcentral
UAUCUGGUUGUGACGGAGAAAUUAUGGG